GACGAACGCUGGCGGCGUGCUUAACACAUGCAAGUCGAACGGAAAGGCCCUGCUUGCAGGGUACUCGAGUGGCGCACGGGUGAGUAACACGUGGGUGAUCUGCCCUGCACUUCGGGAUAAGCCUGGGAAACUGGGUCUAAUACAGGAUAGGAGCCAUUUUUAGUGUGAUGGUUGGAAAGUAUUUUCGGUGUAGGAUGAGCUCGCGGCCUAUCAGCUUGUUGGUGGGGUUAUGGCCUACCAAGGCGGCGACGGGUAGCCGGCCUGAGGGGGUGGACGGCCACCUUGGGACUGAGAUUCGGCCCAGACCCCUACGGGAGGCAGCAGUGGGGGAUUUUGCACAAUGGGCGCGAGCCUGAUGCCGCGACGCCGGCUGGGGGAUGACGGCCUUCGGGUUGGUAACUCCUUUCGCUAGGGACGAAGCUGUUUGUGACGGUACCUAGAUAAGAAGCACCGGCUAACUACGUG
Molecule: ribosomal RNA, 465 nt
Filed under: uncultured bacterium
Lineage: Bacteria
Description: partial 16S ribosomal RNA
Rfam family: Bacterial small subunit ribosomal RNA
Source: RNAcentral